CUUUAGCUCAGUUGGUUAGAGCAUCUGACUGUUAAUCAGAGGGUCCAAGGUUCGAGUCCUUGA
RNAcentral lists this transfer RNA (63 nucleotides) under marine eukaryotic metagenome. It matches the Rfam family "tRNA", at positions 7 to 64 of the family's 71-position model. From Rfam's summary of the family: Transfer RNA (tRNA) molecules are approximately 80 nucleotides in length. Their secondary structure includes four short double-helical elements and three loops (D, anti-codon, and T loops). The record is from RNAcentral.